RNAcentral lists this ribosomal RNA (2921 nucleotides) under Bacillus anthracis str. A1055. RNAcentral's name for it is "bacterial LSU rRNA". It matches the Rfam family "Bacterial large subunit ribosomal RNA". Lineage: Bacteria; Bacillati; Bacillota; Bacilli; Caryophanales; Bacillaceae. The record is from RNAcentral.
UUAAGUUAGAAAGGGCGCACGGUGGAUGCCUUGACACUAGGAGUCGAUGAAGGACGGGACUAACGCCGAUAUGCUUCGGGGAGCUGUAAGUAAGCUUUGAUCCGAAGAUUUCCGAAUGGGGAAACCCACCAUACGUAAUGGUAUGGUAUCCUUAUCUGAAUACAUAGGGUAAGGAAGACAGACCCAGGGAACUGAAACAUCUAAGUACCUGGAGGAAGAGAAAGCAAAUGCGAUUUCCUGAGUAGCGGCGAGCGAAACGGAACAUAGCCCAAACCAAGAGGCUUGCCUCUUGGGGUUGUAGGACAUUCUAUACGGAGUUACAAAGGAACGAGGUAGACGAAGCGACCUGGAAAGGUCCGUCGUAGAGGGUAACAACCCCGUAGUCGAAACUUCGUUCUCUCUUGAAUGUAUCCUGAGUACGGCGGAACACGUGAAAUUCCGUCGGAAUCUGGGAGGACCAUCUCCCAAGGCUAAAUACUCCCUAGUGAUCGAUAGUGAACCAGUACCGUGAGGGAAAGGUGAAAAGCACCCCGGAAGGGGAGUGAAAGAGAUCCUGAAACCGUGUGCCUACAAAUAGUCAGAGCCCGUUAACGGGUGAUGGCGUGCCUUUUGUAGAAUGAACCGGCGAGUUACGAUCCCGUGCGAGGUUAAGCUGAAGAGGCGGAGCCGCAGCGAAAGCGAGUCUGAAUAGGGCGUUUAGUACGUGGUCGUAGACCCGAAACCAGGUGAUCUACCCAUGUCCAGGGUGAAGUUCAGGUAACACUGAAUGGAGGCCCGAACCCACGCACGUUGAAAAGUGCGGGGAUGAGGUGUGGGUAGCGGAGAAAUUCCAAUCGAACCUGGAGAUAGCUGGUUCUCCCCGAAAUAGCUUUAGGGCUAGCCUUAAGUGUAAGAGUCUUGGAGGUAGAGCACUGAUUGGACUAGGGGGUCCUCAUCGGAUUACCGAAUUCAGUCAAACUCCGAAUGCCAAUGACUUAUCCUUAGGAGUCAGACUGCGAGUGAUAAGAUCCGUAGUCAAAAGGGAAACAGCCCAGACCGCCAGCUAAGGUCCCAAAGUGUGUAUUAAGUGGAAAAGGAUGUGGAGUUGCUUAGACAACUAGGAUGUUGGCUUAGAAGCAGCCACCAUUUAAAGAGUGCGUAAUAGCUCACUAGUCGAGUGACUCUGCGCCGAAAAUGUACCGGGGCUAAAUACACCACCGAAGCUGCGGAUUGAUACCAAUGGUAUCAGUGGUAGGGGAGCGUUCUAAGGACAGUGAAGUCAGACCGGAAGGACUGGUGGAGUGCUUAGAAGUGAGAAUGCCGGUAUGAGUAGCGAAAGACGGGUGAGAAUCCCGUCCACCGAAUGCCUAAGGUUUCCUGAGGAAGGCUCGUCCGCUCAGGGUUAGUCAGGACCUAAGCCGAGGCCGACAGGCGUAGGCGAUGGACAACAGGUUGAUAUUCCUGUACCACCUCUUUAUCGUUUGAGCAAUGGAGGGACGCAGAAGGAUAGAAGAAGCGUGCGAUUGGUUGUGCACGUCCAAGCAGUUAGGCUGAUAAGUAGGCAAAUCCGCUUAUCGUGAAGGCUGAGCUGUGAUGGGGAAGCUCCUUAUGGAGCGAAGUCUUUGAUUCCCCGCUGCCAAGAAAAGCUUCUAGCGAGAUAAAAGGUGCCUGUACCGCAAACCGACACAGGUAGGCGAGGAGAGAAUCCUAAGGUGUGCGAGAGAACUCUGGUUAAGGAACUCGGCAAAAUGACCCCGUAACUUCGGGAGAAGGGGUGCUUUCUUAACGGAAAGCCGCAGUGAAUAGGCCCAAGCGACUGUUUAGCAAAAACACAGCUCUCUGCGAAGCCGUAAGGCGAAGUAUAGGGGGUGACACCUGCCCGGUGCUGGAAGGUUAAGGAGAGGGGUUAGCGUAAGCGAAGCUCUGAACUGAAGCCCCAGUAAACGGCGGCCGUAACUAUAACGGUCCUAAGGUAGCGAAAUUCCUUGUCGGGUAAGUUCCGACCCGCACGAAAGGUGUAACGAUUUGGGCACUGUCUCAACCAGAGACUCGGUGAAAUUAUAGUACCUGUGAAGAUGCAGGUUACCCGCGACAGGACGGAAAGACCCCGUGGAGCUUUACUGUAGCCUGAUAUUGAAUUUUGGUACAGUUUGUACAGGAUAGGCGGGAGCCUUUGAAACCGGAGCGCUAGCUUCGGUGGAGGCGCUGGUGGGAUACCGCCCUGACUGUAUUGAAAUUCUAACCUACGGGUCUUAUCGACCCGGGAGACAGUGUCAGGUGGGCAGUUUGACUGGGGCGGUCGCCUCCUAAAGUGUAACGGAGGCGCCCAAAGGUUCCCUCAGAAUGGUUGGAAAUCAUUCGUAGAGUGCAAAGGCAUAAGGGAGCUUGACUGCGAGACCUACAAGUCGAGCAGGGACGAAAGUCGGGCUUAGUGAUCCGGUGGUUCCGCAUGGAAGGGCCAUCGCUCAACGGAUAAAAGCUACCCCGGGGAUAACAGGCUUAUCUCCCCCAAGAGUCCACAUCGACGGGGAGGUUUGGCACCUCGAUGUCGGCUCAUCGCAUCCUGGGGCUGUAGUCGGUCCCAAGGGUUGGGCUGUUCGCCCAUUAAAGCGGUACGCGAGCUGGGUUCAGAACGUCGUGAGACAGUUCGGUCCCUAUCCGUCGUGGGCGUAGGAAAUUUGAGAGGAGCUGUCCUUAGUACGAGAGGACCGGGAUGGACGCACCGCUGGUGUACCAGUUGUUCUGCCAAGGGCAUAGCUGGGUAGCUAUGUGCGGAAGGGAUAAGUGCUGAAAGCAUCUAAGCAUGAAGCCCCCCUCAAGAUGAGAUUUCCCAUAGCGUAAGCUAGUAAGAUCCCUGAAAGAUGAUCAGGUUGAUAGGUUCGAGGUGGAAGCAUGGUGACAUGUGGAGCUGACGAAUACUAAUAGAUCGAGGACUUAACCAU